CGGUUAUCUAAUUUUUGAUUUUCCAUUUUUCCAUUUCUACUGGAAAUAGGAGUCGAGAAGAUAAGAGUUUAAAGGAUUCGAGUCCGCGGCCAGAAGUUCCCACGGCCUGUUGUAAUGGCUCAGGCUCUCGUUGCUUCCUCUUCCUCCUCCUUCCUCCUAAAUGCUUCAGCUGCCAAAACCGCCAGGCCUCAGGUUUCUGCUUGUUUUCUUCCGCGUUCUAGAGUCUCACAGAUCGCCUCUUCCUUCAAAAGCGGCUCUCCUCUUGUUGUUAGGCUUGCUUCGAUGAGAAAUUUUGAAUGCCGAUCAGCGUGGGUUCCCAUUAGGUGUGAGCAGGGAGCCAAAGAGAGUAGUGGAUUAGAUGUGUGGCUUGGUCGUCUUGCAAUGGUUGGCUUUGCCACGGUAAUCACUGUUGAGAUUGUUACUGGGAAGGGGCUUCUCGAGGUUAUAAAGUUACUGAACUCAUGGGGAUUCUAUGUUCCAGCUUUUAGCUCAUUCUCGGAUUGUAUGAAGUUAAAAUCUUAUUCGGUUGAAUAGCAUUGGAAGAACGUCAGCGUAAGAAGAUACGGCCCGCUAGCGAGCCAUCAAUUGAGGCUACUAGCAAUGCAUGACCCCCAGCUCAGCUUCACCCGCACAUUGCUUCUUUGCAUGAAUUUUGGGUUUGUGACGCCAUUUCCUUCGUUAGCAUUGGUUGUUACAAGCCUGAUUGGAAUUUUGGCAGCAGUGUUUAUAUUUCAGUCUGCAGCUCGAGAUUGAUCCUUCUUUGAAUGAUAAAUUUUUAAGUGUUACUUUUGAUGAUUGACUGAACAUGUACUAUGCUUAUGUAAAGAUAUUAAGGCUCUGUUCCGUACAAUAGUGUUCAUAUUGUGUACUACUCUUUAACAUUCACAUAUGAGUUGUGAUAUAAUUCAGUUCUUAUGCAUUCAAGUUA
RNA transcript from Dendrobium catenatum, 928 nucleotides. It is a transcript of the gene named stress enhanced protein 1, chloroplastic, with no coding region annotated. The record is from RefSeq and is a predicted model, not a curated record. Lineage: Eukaryota; Viridiplantae; Streptophyta; Magnoliopsida; Asparagales; Orchidaceae. The transcript is spliced from 6 exons.